UAAACAGGUUCAAGAUGAGCAGCAAGACUCCCUAAGUCUCCCAUGUUUCAAAGGAAGACAGAAGCAAUACCCAGACCUUGAACUAUCCAUAUCCUUAAAAUGUGGAAUCAACAGAAUUGUUUCUGAAGGCUCUGCCUCUGGACAUCAGAAGAGUCAGAUGACAUGUCACCGGAAAAAGGAAGGAAGAAGUGGUUUAAACUGGCUUAAACAGGAUCCAAUUAAGCAGACGGACUCACCUAUUCUAACCUAUCUUCUUCCCAUCACU
Molecule: long non-coding RNA, 265 nt
Filed under: Manacus vitellinus (golden-collared manakin)
Lineage: Eukaryota; Metazoa; Chordata; Aves; Passeriformes; Pipridae
Description: lncRNA (ENSMVIG00005012212.1)
Source: RNAcentral